AUAUCAAUAAGCGGAGGAAAAGAAACCAACAGGGAUUGCCUUAGUAACGGCGAGUGAAGCGGCAACAGCUCAAAUUUGAAAUCUGGCUCUUUCAGGGUCCGAGUUGUAAUUUGUAGAAGAUGCUUUGGGUGUAGCUCCGGUCUAAGUUCCUUGGAACAGGACGUCAUAGAGGGUGAGAAUCCCGUACGUGACUGGGGACCAAGCCCGUGUGAAACCCCUUCGACGAGUCGAGUUGUUUGGGAAUGCAGCUCAAAAUGGGUGGUAAAUUUCAUCUAAAGCUAAAUACCGGCUGGAGACCGAUAGCGCACAAAGUA
This 314-nucleotide ribosomal RNA is filed under the name uncultured Helotiales. Its description in RNAcentral is "partial large subunit ribosomal RNA". It matches the Rfam family "Eukaryotic large subunit ribosomal RNA", at positions 40 to 350 of the family's 3401-position model. The record is from RNAcentral. Lineage: Eukaryota; Fungi; Ascomycota; Leotiomycetes; Helotiales.